Molecule: ribosomal RNA, 378 nt
Filed under: uncultured bacterium
Lineage: Bacteria
Description: bacterial SSU rRNA
Rfam family: Bacterial small subunit ribosomal RNA
Source: RNAcentral
GACGAACGCUGGCGGCGCGUCUAAGACAUGCAAGUCGUACGGAGGGGGAGCAAUCCCCUUAGUGGCGAACGGGUGAGUAACACGUAGCUAACCUGCCCCUUGGACCGGGAUAACCGGGCGAAAGCCCAGCUAAUACCGGAUACGCUCUGAGGAGGAAAGCGGGGGACCGAAAGGCCUCGCGCUGAGGGAGGGGGCGUGCGGCCUAUUAGCUAGUUGGCGGGGUAACGGGCCCGACCAAGGCGAUGAUGGGUAGCUGAUCUGAGAGGAUGAUCAGCCACACUGGGACUGAGAUACGGCCCAGACUCCUACGGGAGGCAGCAGUUAAGAAUCUUGCGCAAUGGGCGAAAGCCUGACGCAGCGACGCCGCGUGAGGGAUGA